UUGACACACUUGGGCUUUUUUGUCAACGCAGUUCGUAAUAUUGUAAUGUCACUUAUGACUCAUCAAGAAUGAGGGCAUAUUAGAAAUUUCAGAUCCCACCGUUUGAUCAAAAGUCACCUAGCUAUCUGAUCUGUCUGAGUGAGCACAAUUCUCAUUGGGCGUAUUUAUUCUCACCAACUUUAUUUCCCUUCAUAAAAGUCAUGCCUUUCCAUCUUCUUGUUUCACUCGCUAUAAAUCCCUUCUUCACUGUGCC
Molecule: long non-coding RNA, 253 nt
Filed under: Gossypium barbadense (sea-island cotton)
Lineage: Eukaryota; Viridiplantae; Streptophyta; Magnoliopsida; Malvales; Malvaceae
Description: long non-coding RNA (GBAR_LNC004562)
Source: RNAcentral